Molecule: long non-coding RNA, 3642 nt
Filed under: Canis lupus familiaris (dog)
Lineage: Eukaryota; Metazoa; Chordata; Mammalia; Carnivora; Canidae
Description: lncRNA (ENSCAFG00000058915.1)
Source: RNAcentral
UUAUUCAUGAGAAACAGAGAGAGGCAGAAACACAGACAGAGAGAGAGGCAGGCUCCAUGCAGGGAGCCUGAUGUAGGACUCGAUCCAAUCCUGAGUCUACAGGAUCACACCAUGGACCAAAGGCAGGCACUUAACCACUGAGCCACCCAGGUGUCCCCAUUUUGAACAUCUUAAAGGAAGGUAGAAAUUUGAAAUAUCACCUCUGAAAUGAUAGUCUCCUCUAGUUCCAAACAGAUCUUUUUAAAAAAUAUUUUUAAGAUUUUACUUAUUUAUUCAUGAGACACACAGAGAGAGGCAGAGACAUAGGCAGAGGGAGAAGCAGGCUCCAUGCAAGAAGCCUGAUGCGGGACUGGAUCCCUGGACCAGGAUCACACCCUGAGCCAAAGGCAGAUGCUCAGCUGCUGAGCCACCCAGAUGUCCCAAAACAGAUGUUUAUCAAGCCUCAGUUUAAAACUAAAUAUUAGUUCUUAAGAAAUGCAGGGAAGAGAAGAACAUGUUAAAUGAAACUAUAUAGGUGCAAUCAACAAAAUCCAAAAUGGAGAAUUUCACUGGGACAAACAACUAAUCUUUUUUUUUUCCAACCAAAAAGUGCAAGAAAAAAGGAAAUGGGUCCAAGUAAGAGAAGCCAAAGAUCUUAACAGAUACCUCAUCAAAGAAGAUAUACAGAUGUCAAAUAAGCACAUGAAAACAUGCUCCACAUCGUUAGUCAUCAGGGAAAUGCAAGUUAAAAUGGCAAUAGGACACCAAUACAUACCUAUUUGUAUGGCCAGAUUCCAGAACUCCAACACCAGCAAAUGCUGGCAAGGAUAUGAGGCAACAGGGACUCUCACUCAUUGCUAGUGGGAUGCCAAAUGGUACAUAUACUUUGGAAGAGCAUUUCGUGGUUUCUUAUAGAACUAAGCAUAUUCUUCCCAAAUGGUCCAGCAAUCACACUACUUGGUAUUUACCCAAAGGAGUUGAAAACUUAUGUCUACUCAAAAACAUAAACACAAAUGUUUAUAGCAGCUUUAUUAAAAAAUGCUGCAACUUGGAAGCAAUCACAAUGUCCUUUGGUAGGUAAAUAAAUAAACUGUAGUCCACCCAAACAGUGGAAUAUAAUUCUAUACUAAAAAGAAAUGAGCUUUCUCAUUUCUCUUUAUGUUUCAUAAGACAUAAAGACAUAAAGGAACUUUAUUAUUUUUUAAAGACUUAUUUACUUGAGAGAGAGAGAAAGAGCUUGAGAGAGAGAGAGCAGGAGUGGGAGGGGAAAAGGGAGGGGGAAAGAGAGUCUCAAGCUGACUCCUCACUGAGCAUAGAGCCCAUUGCAGGGUUUGAUUCCAAUACCUUGAGAUCAUGACCUGAGCUGACAUCAAUAGUUGGAGGCUUAACCAACUACACCAUCCAAGCACCCCGACAUGGAAGAACUUUAAAUGUAAUUACGUAGUGAGAGAAGCCAAUUUGAAAAGGCUACAUAUUGCAUGAUUCCAACACUAGGACACUCUGGAAAAGAUAAAACAUGGAGAUAGUUGGUGAUCAGUGGUGGUCAAAUGUUAGGGCUAGGGAUGUUGAAUAAGCAGAGCACAAAGGAUUUUUAAGGCAGUAAAAAUACCCUGUAUGAUACCAUUAUGAUAUAUGUCAUUAUACAUUUGUUAAAAUCCUUAGAAUGUACUCCAUCAAGAGUAAACUCUAAGGUAAAUAAUGGGCUUCAGUGAUUUAUGUGUUCAUAAAUAGUUAAUAAAUAGUAAUAACUAUACUAUUCUGAUAGGGAUAUCAAUAAUGGGGGAGCCUGAGUCUAUGGGAGCUGGAGGUAUAUGGGAAAUCUCUAUAUCUUCCUCUCAAUUUCAUUGUAGCCAUGAGCUUCCAUUAUGUAGAAAAAUGUGGUCCAUAUGCCUUCUUUAUUUUCACUGUGUUCCUCUAUCCUAUUCAUGAUUUGUAGAAGACAGAAUUAUAACCCUCAAAGAUGCCCACCCCAUCAUCCUCAGAAAAUUUUAAGUAUGUUAAGUUACAAGGCAAAAGAGACUUUCAAAUUUAAUUCAAGAUCUUAAAGUAGGGAGAUAAUCUUGGAUUAUUUGUGCCCAAUACAAUUAUAUGAGCCCUUAAAAGCAGAAACUCUUCUCUAGCUGGAGAGAGAAAGGAUGCUGCAGAAGUGAGAAAGUCUUAAAGUGUAAGAAGGGAUCAUGUGGCAUUGCUGGUUUGGAGAUAUGGCUGGUGAAAGAAAUAAUUCCUGGAGGGAGAAAGUGGCCUGAAAAAGCUGAGAGAGGUUCCCAGAGGCCAGAGACUUCAGAGAAGAGCCCAGGCUGGCAAACACUUGAUCUGUCUUGUGAGAGACCAAAAGCAGAGUUCAGCCAAGUCCAUCUGGACUUCCAACUGGCUGAACUGUGAGCUAAUAAGUUCGCAUUGUUCAAAGUCACCAAGUUUGUGGUAAUUUAUUACAGCAGAAAUAGAAAACGAAUACAUAACUGUUAACUACUUUGAAGUCUCUUUAGACCAGACCUUCUAUGAAUUCACCUUUGGCAUCUGGCAGGGAAAAGUCAGUCAAAUUGACAAUAGAGAAAGGGGUCAUUGUACCUCCUGAGUGCUAAUGACAAACUCUGAAGCGAUAUGCUUCCCGUACACCCACCCAGCUCUGACCAGUCUCAGGAGGCCAAAGAUCCCAGACAACAUGGACAGCUGGACAAUUCUUCAAAUCUGACAGACUUUAGCAGAAGUGGACCUUGGGCUACUUUCUUAAGCCAACAAUGAUGUCAGAAAGAAUGAUCAGGACAUGAAGUAGCUUCAGGAUUAAAUAACUAUGCUAACAAGCCUAAGAUUUUAUAAUUUUCUUUUUCUUUUCAUUGGUUAUGGUAUACCUAUAUCCUAUGCUCUACCUUAUAUGGAUCAGCAGGCAUAGGGGUGAUUUGUAGAGCUGACCCUGGACACACUGAACUGAUCUCUGAGGUUUUCAUUUUUGUUUUAAAGGUUUUAUUUAUUUAUUUAUUCAUGACAGACAUACACACACAGAGAGAGGCAGAGACAGAGGCAGAGGGAGAAGCAGGCUCUAUGCAGGGAACCUGAUGUGGGACUCGAUCCCAGGACUCCAGGAUCACACCCUGAGCUGAAGGCAGACACUCAACCAUUCUGUCACCCAGGAGCCCCUGAGGUUUUCUAUUCCAGGCAGUGGCUGUGACCAACCCUUUGCUCUGCCCUAGAUCUCAGGAUCCAUUAGAAGAUACCUAUCAUCACCUUAGCGUACUAUGUAAAUUAACUUUUCCUUACCUAAGAGAAGUCUGACAGCAUCUAAUUGCAGGAAGGAGAUGAAGGUUCAGAACAGAAUAGCCAGAUAUUGAUUGCCUCUCUUCCACUGAGGACCAUUGCAUCACUGUAAGAGGAAAGCCCUGAGUGAGGGAUAAGAUUCAUACCUGGACAAGAUAUUGUCAAUCUUGCCCCUCUGCGCUGUCUGGUUGGAAGAAGGUGUGUGUACACAAAGGAAGAAAGAAAAUAUGUAUAUAUAGUGUGUAUAAAUACUCCACUGAUAUAAUUUGUCAAAGACAUAGAAAUAUAAAUGAUAGAUCGUUAGUUAUUUUGGUGGGGGAUAGUUUUGAGCCAGGGUAAUGAAACCUAUGAAUGUACUAAGCUUAGGAACUUAGGGAUUUUGUCUAAUAAGUAAUGGGGAAAUCUAUAUGU